AGAGUUUGAUCCUGGCUCAGAAUGAACGCUGGCGGCAUGCCUAACACAUGCAAGUCGAACGAGAUUUUCGGAUCUAGUGGCGCACGGGUGAGUAACGCGUGGGAACCUACCUUUUAGUACGGGACAACGUUUGGAAACGAACGCUAAUACCGUAUACGCCCUCCGGGGGAAAGGUCAGCCGCUAAAAGAGGGGCCCGCGUCUGAUUAGCUUGUUGGUAAGGUAAUGGCUUACCAAGGCUACGAUCAGUAGCUGGUCUGAGAGGAUGAUCAGCCACACUGGGACUGAGACACGGCCCAGACUCCUACGGGAGGCAGCAGUGGGGAAUAUUGGACAAUGGAGGCAACUCUGAUCCAGCAAUGCCGCGUGUGUGAUGAAGGCCCUAGGGUUGUAAAGCACUUUCAACGGUGAAGAUGAUGACGGUAGCCGAGAAG
RNAcentral lists this ribosomal RNA (432 nucleotides) under uncultured bacterium. RNAcentral describes it as "bacterial SSU rRNA". It matches the Rfam family "Bacterial small subunit ribosomal RNA", at positions 8 to 486 of the family's 1533-position model. The record is from RNAcentral.